RNAcentral lists this transfer RNA (73 nucleotides) under Penaeus chinensis. Its description in RNAcentral is "tRNA-Pro". It matches the Rfam family "tRNA". Rfam says of the family: Transfer RNA (tRNA) molecules are approximately 80 nucleotides in length. Their secondary structure includes four short double-helical elements and three loops (D, anti-codon, and T loops). The record is from RNAcentral. Lineage: Eukaryota; Metazoa; Arthropoda; Malacostraca; Decapoda; Penaeidae.
GGCCUGAUGGUCUAGGGGUAUGAUUCUCGCUUUGGGUGCGAGAGGUCCCGGGUUCAAAUCCCGGUCAAGGCCC